Molecule: small nuclear RNA, 162 nt
Organism: Lycium ferocissimum
Lineage: Eukaryota; Viridiplantae; Streptophyta; Magnoliopsida; Solanales; Solanaceae
Product: U1 spliceosomal RNA
Exons: 1
Source: RefSeq, a predicted model, not a curated record
AUACUUACCUGGAUGGGGUCAAUGGGUGAUCAAGAAGGUCCAUGGCCUAGGCUAAUGACCUUCAUUGCACUUUGAAGGGGUGUGCGCUUAAGGUCGGCCCAAGUGGUCGAGCCUACGUCAUAAUUUGUGGCAGUGGGGGACCUGCUUUCGUGCGGCCCCUCC